GCAGGAUCAUAAAUAAAAAAGAUGAGAUUAUUAUGAUGAAAGUGUAUGCUGACAUUAUAAUGAUCUUGUCUAUGUUCUAAAUACAAAGUACCUUCACGAGGUUUAGAAUGAGUGAUAUAAGGAAAGUUAUAUUAGCUAAAUUUAUGUAUGUGGUAAAUGAGUUGAUUGAUUAUAAGGGUGUGUGUGGCUAGGUGUAGAGAAUUAAUAUUAAAUGUAUCAAGAGAGAUUUAAGUUGGUUUUUAUACCGGUGAUGUUAAAUUUUCUAUACUUUUAACAACUCAUUUAUUACAACA
RNAcentral lists this unclassified non-coding RNA (293 nucleotides) under Nosema bombycis. RNAcentral describes it as "intergenic spacer". Lineage: Eukaryota; Fungi; Microsporidia; Nosematidae. The record is from RNAcentral.